UACGAAGGGGGCGAGCGUUGCUCGGAAUCACUGGGCGUAAAGCGCACGUAGGCGGCUUUCUAAGUCAGGGGUGAAAUCCUGGAGCUCAACUCCAGAACUGCCUUUGAUACUGGAGAGCUUGAGUCCGGAAGAGGUGAGUGGAACUCCGAGUGUAGAGGUGAAAUUCGUAGAUAUUCGGAAGAACACCAGUGGCGAAGGCGGCUCGCUGGCCCGUUACCGACGCUCAGGCGCGACAGCGUGGGGAGCAAACAGG
Molecule: ribosomal RNA, 253 nt
Filed under: uncultured bacterium
Lineage: Bacteria
Description: partial 16S ribosomal RNA
Rfam family: Bacterial small subunit ribosomal RNA
Source: RNAcentral